UUAAGUCCGCAACGAGCGCAACCCUUGUCAUUAGUUGCUACAUUUAGUUGGGGCACUCUAAUGAGACUGCCGGUGACAAACCGGAGAAGGUGGGGAUGACGUCAAGUCCUCAUGGCCCUUAUAGGUGGGGCUACACACGUCAUACAAUGGUCGGUACAGAGGGUUGCCAAGCCGCGAGGUGGAGCCAAUCCCUUAAAGCCGAUCGUAGUCCGGAUCGUAGUCUGCAACUCGACUACGUGAAGUCGGAAUCGCUAGUAAUCGCAGAUCAGCAUGCUGCGGUGAAUACGUUCCCGGGUCUU
This 299-nucleotide ribosomal RNA is filed under the name uncultured Thauera sp. RNAcentral describes it as "partial 16S ribosomal RNA". It matches the Rfam family "Bacterial small subunit ribosomal RNA", at positions 1080 to 1382 of the family's 1533-position model. The record is from RNAcentral. Lineage: Bacteria; Pseudomonadati; Pseudomonadota; Betaproteobacteria; Rhodocyclales; Zoogloeaceae.